This 253-nucleotide ribosomal RNA is filed under the name uncultured bacterium. RNAcentral describes it as "partial 16S ribosomal RNA". It matches the Rfam family "Bacterial small subunit ribosomal RNA", at positions 524 to 776 of the family's 1533-position model. The record is from RNAcentral.
UACGCGGGGGGCGAACGUUGUUCGGUGUCACUGGGCUUAAAGGGUGCGUAGGUGGUUUCGUAAGUAAGGUGUGAAAGCCCUCGGCUUACCCGGGGAAUUGCGCCUUAUACUGCGAGACUUGAGGAUUUCAGGGGAAUGGGGAACUCCAGGUGUAGCGGUGAAAUGCGCAGAUAUCUGGGGGAAGGCCGGCGGCGAAGGCGCCAUUCUGGGAAAUUCCUGACACUGAGGCACGAAAGCGUGGGGAGCAAACAGG